RNAcentral lists this ribosomal RNA (649 nucleotides) under uncultured Actinomycetes bacterium. Its description in RNAcentral is "bacterial SSU rRNA". It matches the Rfam family "Bacterial small subunit ribosomal RNA", at positions 85 to 747 of the family's 1533-position model. Lineage: Bacteria; Bacillati; Actinomycetota; Actinomycetes. The record is from RNAcentral.
GGGUACUCGAGCGGCGAACGGGUGAGUAACACGUGAGUAAUCUGCCCUUGGCUUCGGGAUAGCCACCGGAAACGGUGAUUAAUACCGGAUACGACACAUCACUGCAUGGUGCGUGUGUGGAAAGUUUUUUCGGCCAGGGAUGUGCUCGCGGCCUAUCAGCUUGUUGGUGGGGUAAUGGCCUACCAAGGCUUCGACGGGUAGCCGGCCUGAGAGGGUGACCGGCCACACUGGGACUGAGACACGGCCCAGACUCCUACGGGAGGCAGCAGUGGGGAAUAUUGGACAAUGGGCGGAAGCCUGAUCCAGCAACGCCGCGUGAGGGAUGACGGCCUUCGGGUUGUAAACCUCUUUCAGCACAGACGAAGCGCAAGUGACGGUAUGUGCAGAAGAAGGACCGGCCAACUACGUGCCAGCAGCCGCGGUAAUACGUAGGGUCCGAGCGUUGUCCGGAAUUAUUGGGCGUAAAGGGCUCGUAGGCGGUUUGUCGCGUCGGGAGUGAAAACACCGGGCUUAACUCGGUGCUUGCUUUCGAUACGGGCAGACUAGAGGUAUUCAGGGGAGAACGGAAUUCCUGGUGUAGCGGUGAAAUGCGCAGAUAUCAGGAGGAACACCGGUGGCGAAGGCGGUUCUCUGGGAAUAUCCUGACGCU